Gadus morhua (Atlantic cod) is the source of this 640-nucleotide long non-coding RNA. RefSeq lists it as uncharacterized. The record is from RefSeq and is a predicted model, not a curated record. The transcript is spliced from 3 exons. Lineage: Eukaryota; Metazoa; Chordata; Actinopteri; Gadiformes; Gadidae.
AGAGAGAGAGAGAGAGAGAGAGAGAGAGAGAGAGAGAGAGAGAGAGAGAGAGAGAGUAGAUAUAUAAGUAGAUAACAUGGUUUUCUACUGUAUUUGUGGCGGGUGCAACAACUCCAGCAAAAGUGGACAUAGGGUCCAUUGCUUCCCCAAGGACAAAGGGAUUCUCCGAAGCUGGGUGCAAUUUGUCAAGUUUAGGCGGGCAGAUUUUUCAGCUAGCUCUGUUACCGCGUACUCCAGAAUAUGCAGCGCGCAUUUCAAGGAGGAGGAUUACCACUCAGGGGAUGCCAAGAUGGUCUCACUUGGUUUAAAGAGUAAGAGGACGGCGAAGUUAAUUCCUACCGCCGUGCCGUCUGUGCAUGCAAACCACUCUGCCUGCCCUGUCCCGAGGUCGAGAGACACCGUCUGCCGCAAGCGAGAGAUUGCCACGAUGUUGACAGACGCCUCACAGCAGGAGACCGUGGCCAGUGUAGACACUGUGGAGAGUGUCGAUACUGGGGAUCAGCCCUUGCCCUCCUCCACUUCUGACGCUGGGACACAAUGUUUUUUGAAGCCCCCCCGAUGGUCUCACGCUGUGCAGGUUAACCUGAAGCCCAAGAUGGUUAGUGUGGGCACACAGACUUCAAUCAGCCCACAAACCUCC